Molecule: ribosomal RNA, 253 nt
Filed under: uncultured bacterium
Lineage: Bacteria
Also listed under: 1 other name
Description: partial 16S ribosomal RNA
Rfam family: Bacterial small subunit ribosomal RNA
Source: RNAcentral
UACGAACUGUGCGAACGUUAUUCGGAAUCACUGGGCUUAAAGGGUGCGUAGGCGGCUGCCUAAGUCAGGUGUGAAAUCUCUCGGCUCAACCGGGAAACUGCGCUUGAUACUGGGCGGCUCGAGUGAGGUAGGGGUGUGUGGAACUUCCGGUGGAGCGGUGAAAUGUGUAGAUAUCGGAAGGAACGCCAGCAGCGAAAGCGGCACACUGGGCCUUUUCUGACGCUGAGGCACGAAAGCUAGGGGAGCGAACGGG